UACAGAGACUGCAAGCGUUAUUCGGAUUCACUGGGCGUAAAGGGUGCGCAGGCGGCCAAGUGUGUUAGGCGUGAAAGCCCGGGGCUUAACCCCGGAAUUGCACCUAAACUACAUGGCUAGAGCAUUGGAGAGGGUAGCAGAAUUCAUGGUGUAGCAGUGAAAUGCGUAGAUAUCAUGAGGAAUACCAGAGGCGAAGGCGGCUACCUGGACAAUUGCUGACGCUCAGGCACGAAAGCGUGGGGAGCAAAAGGG
RNAcentral lists this ribosomal RNA (252 nucleotides) under uncultured bacterium. RNAcentral describes it as "partial 16S ribosomal RNA". It matches the Rfam family "Bacterial small subunit ribosomal RNA", at positions 524 to 776 of the family's 1533-position model. The record is from RNAcentral.